UACGAAGGGGGCUAGCGUUGUUCGGAAUUACUGGGCGUAAAGCGCACGUAGGCGGAUAUUUAAGUCAGGGGUGAAAUCCCAGAGCUCAACUCUGGAACUGCCUUUGAUACUGGGUAUCUUGAGUAUGGAAGAGGUAAGUGGAAUUGCGAGUGUAGAGGUGAAAUUCGUAGAUAUUCGCAGGAACACCAGUGGCGAAGGCGACUUACUGGACACAUAAUUGACGCUGAGGUGCGAAAGCGUGGGGAG
Molecule: ribosomal RNA, 246 nt
Filed under: uncultured bacterium
Lineage: Bacteria
Description: partial 16S ribosomal RNA
Rfam family: Bacterial small subunit ribosomal RNA
Source: RNAcentral